AAAGUUCCUUUCGGGGGGCGAGUAGAGUGGCGCACGGGUGAGUAACACGUAGGUAAUCUACCUUUGGAUGGGGAAUAACAACCGGAAACGGUUGCUAAUACCGCAUAAUGCAGCGGCACCUAAUGGUGACAGUUGUUAAAGCGGGGGAUCGAAAGACCUCGCGUCUGAAGAGGAGCCUGCGGCGGAUUAGCUAGUUGGUAAGGUAAUGGCUUACCAAGGCGAUGAUCCGUAACCGGCCUGAGAGGGCGGUCGGUCACACUGACACUGACAUACGGGUCAGACUCCUACGGGAGGCAGCAGUCGGGAAUUUUGGGCAAUGGGCGAAAGCCUGACCCAGCAACGCCGCGUGAAGGAUGAAAUCCCUCGGGAUGUAAACUUCGCAAGAACAGGAAGAAUAAGUAGGGGACAAUACCCCCUAUGAUGACGGUACUGUUUGUAAGCUCCGGCUAACUCCGUGCCAGCAGCCGCGGUAAUACGGGGGGAGCAAGCGUUGUUCGGAUUUACUGGGCGUAAAGGGCGCGUAGGCGGCCACCGCAAGUCGGUUGUGAAAUCUCCGGGCUUAACCCGGAAAGGUCAAUCGAUACUGCGGGGCUAGAGUGCAGAAGGGGCAACUGGAAUUCUCGGUGUAGCGGUGAAAUGCGUAGAUAUCGAGAGGAACACCUGCGGCGAAGGCGGGUUGCUGGGCUGACACUGACGCUGAAGCGCGAAAGCUAGGGGAGCGAACGGGAUUAGAUACCCCGGUAGUCCUAGCCUUAAACGAUGAAUGCUUGGUGUCUGGGGUUAUAUAGUCCCCGGGUGCCGUCGCUAACGCUUUAAGCAUUCCGCCUGGGGAGUACGGUCGCAAGACUG
RNAcentral lists this ribosomal RNA (849 nucleotides) under uncultured Bacillota bacterium. RNAcentral's name for it is "bacterial SSU rRNA". It matches the Rfam family "Bacterial small subunit ribosomal RNA", at positions 70 to 896 of the family's 1533-position model. The record is from RNAcentral. Lineage: Bacteria; Bacillati; Bacillota.